This 816-nucleotide ribosomal RNA is filed under the name Bettsia fastidia. RNAcentral describes it as "eukaryotic LSU rRNA". It matches the Rfam family "Eukaryotic large subunit ribosomal RNA", at positions 85 to 912 of the family's 3401-position model. Lineage: Eukaryota; Fungi; Ascomycota; Leotiomycetes. The record is from RNAcentral.
AACGGCGAAGUGAAGCGGCAAGAAGCUCAAAUUUGAAAGCUGGCUCCAUCCGGGGUCCGCAUUGUAAUUUGGAGAGGAUGCUUCGGGUGCGGCCCCCGUCUAAGUGCUCUGGAACGGGCCGUCGGAGAGGGUGAGAAUCCCGUCUGGGGCGGGGAGCCCCGCGCCCAUGUGAAGCUCCUUCAACGAGUCGAGUUGUUUGGGAAUGCAGCUCUAAAUGGGUGGUAAAUUUCAUCUAAAGCUAAAUACAGGCCGGAGACCGAUAGCGCACAAGUAGAGUGAUCGAAAGAUGAAAAGCACUUUGAAAAGAGAGUUAAACAGCACGUGAAAUUGUUGAAAGGGAAGCGCUUGCGAUCAGACUCGCCCGCGGGGUUCAGCCGGCAUUCGUGCCGGUGUACUUCCCCGCGGGCGGGCCAGCGUCGGUUUGGGCGGCCGGUCAAAGGCCCCCGGAAUGUAGCGCCCCCCGGGGCGUCUUAUAGCCGGGGGUGCCAUGCGGCCAGCCCGGACCGAGGAACGCGCUUCGGCACGGACGCUGGCGUAAUGGUCGCAAGCGACCCGUCUUGAAACACGGACCAAGGAGUCUAACAUCUACGCGAGUGUUUGGGUGGCAAACCCAUGCGCGCAGUGAAAGCGAACGGAGGUGGGAACCCCCCCGCGGGGCGCACCAUCGACCGAUCCUGAUGUCCUCGGAUGGAUUUGAGUAAGAGCGUAGCUGUGGGGACCCGAAAGAUGGUGAACUAUGCCUGAAUAGGGCGAAGCCAGGGGAAACUCUGGUGGAGGCUCGCAGCGGUUCUGACGUGCAAAUCGAUCGUCAAAUUU